AGAGCGAACGCUGGCGGUAGGCCUAACACAUGCAAGUCGAACGGACUCUUCGGGGGUUAGUGGCGGACGGGUGAGUAACACGUGGGAACGUGCCUUUAGGUUCGGAAUAGCUCCUGGAAACGGGUGGUAAUGCCGAAUGUGCCCUUCGGGGGAAAGAUUUAUCGCCUUUAGAGCGGCCCGCGUCUGAUUAGCUAGUUGGUGAGGUAAAGGCUCACCAAGGCUACGAUCAGUAGCUGGUCUGAGAGGAUGACCAGCCACAUUGGGACUGAGACACGGCCCAAACUCCUACGGGAGGCAGCAGUGGGGAAUCUUGCGCAAUGGGCGAAAGCCUGACGCAGCCAUGCCGCGUGAAUGAUGAAGGUCUUAGGAUUGUAAAAUUCUUCAGUAGGGACGAUAAUGACGGUACCUACAGAAGAAGCCCGGCUAACUUCGUGCCAGCAGCCGAC
RNAcentral lists this ribosomal RNA (446 nucleotides) under uncultured soil bacterium. RNAcentral's name for it is "bacterial SSU rRNA". It matches the Rfam family "Bacterial small subunit ribosomal RNA", at positions 26 to 518 of the family's 1533-position model. The record is from RNAcentral.